GUGCCAGCCGCCGCGGUAAGACGGAAGGUGCAAGCGUUGCUCGGAAUCAUUGGGCGUAAAGGGUGCGUAGGCGGCUUGGUGGGUCUGGUGUGAAAGCCCCGGGCUUAGCCCGGGAAGGGCGCUAGAAACUGCCGAGCUCGAGUGCCGGAGGGGAGAGUGGAAUUCCUGGUGUAGCGGUGAAAUGCGUAGAGAUCAGGAGGAAUACCGGUGGCGAAAGCGACUCUCUGGACGGCAACUGACGCUGAGGCACGAAAGCGUGGGGAGCAAACAGGAUUAGAAACCCUGGUAGUCC
Molecule: ribosomal RNA, 292 nt
Filed under: uncultured bacterium
Lineage: Bacteria
Description: partial 16S ribosomal RNA
Rfam family: Bacterial small subunit ribosomal RNA
Source: RNAcentral